GAUGAAGAACGCAGCGAAACGCGAUAAGUAAUGUGAAUUGCAGAAUCCAGUGAAUCAUCGAAUCUUUGAACGCACAUUGCGCCCGCCAGCAUUCUGGCGGGCAUGCCUGUUCGAGCGUCAUUUCAACCCUCGACCUCCCCUUGGGGAGGUCGGCGUUGGGGACCGGCAGCACACCGCCGGCCCUGAAAUGGAGUGGCGGCCCGUCCGCGGCGACCUCUGCGCAGUAAUACAGCUCGCACCGGGACCCCGACGCGGCCACGCCGUAAAACACCCAACUUCUGAACGUUGACCUCGAAUCAGGUAGGACUACCCGCUGAACUUAAGCAUAUCAAUAAGCGGAGGA
Molecule: unclassified non-coding RNA, 343 nt
Filed under: soil metagenome
Description: partial contains 5.8S ribosomal RNA, internal transcribed spacer 2, and large subunit ribosomal RNA
Rfam family: 5.8S ribosomal RNA (bases 1-120)
Source: RNAcentral